RNA transcript from Prosopis cineraria, 3368 nucleotides. It is a transcript of the gene named G-type lectin S-receptor-like serine/threonine-protein kinase At2g19130, with no coding region annotated. Lineage: Eukaryota; Viridiplantae; Streptophyta; Magnoliopsida; Fabales; Fabaceae. The record is from RefSeq and is a predicted model, not a curated record. The transcript is spliced from 3 exons.
CGACCUGACUAUUUGUUCAAAUGCUAUGUUAAUGGUCGUUUGACUGGAUCAACGUUCUCAAGUGACCAUCAUCGACCUCUACCGGAAAAUUAACAGGAUUUUUAUGAGCAAGAGUGAUAAAAAGUUUGGUUUGACUUUGGUUGGUGGUGGGCCUAUAUAUGAUAUAGCAUAAAGCAUCAUCCAUCACCUUCCUCCUCCAGACUCGACCAGGUCAGUGUUCUUGACCACCAAACAUCUCCCUCCUUUCUGAACUGAGAAGCCAUGGACAACAUGAAGAAACCAUGGUUGUGGAUUUCAGUUGUCAUCCUCUGCUUCGCUUUUGACGUUCAUUCUGCUUCUGGAGCUUUUACUGCCAUCUCAGCAGAGCAAUCUCUUUCUGGCGAUCAAACUCUAAUCUCUCGGAAAGGUGUCUUUGAAUUGGGAUUCUUCAAGCCAGGUAAUUCCUCUAAUUACUACAUAGGCAUAUGGUACAAAAAGGUCUCUCAAAGUCAGAGGACCCAUGUUUGGGUAGCUAACAGAAACAAACCGGUCUCUGACAAAUAUUCGGCCAAGUUAGCAAUUUCGGAUGGCAAUUUAGUUCUCUUUGAUGGGUCUCAAAAGAUUGUUUGGUCAACAAACUUGACUUCUCCAUCCUUGAGUUUUGUAGAAGUUGUCCUUCUUGAUAGUGGGAACCUAGUUUUAAGAGAGAGGCCUAACGCAACAGAGUACCUAUGGCAGAGCUUUGACAAUCCAACUGAUACAUGGCUUCCAGGAGGUAAAAUGAGAUUAAAUAAUAAAACAAAACAGCCUCAAUAUCUCACUUCAUGGAAGAAUAGCGAGGACCCUGCAGAAGGCCUUUUCUCUCUAGAGCUAGACCCCAAAGGAAGCACCGCCUAUGUCAUUCUUUGGAAUAAGUCUCAGCAGUAUUGGAGCAGUGGUGCUUGGAAUGGACAAAUUUUCAGCUUGGUGCCUGAAAUGAGGUUAAAUUAUAUCUACAAUUUCACAUUUGUGACAAACGAAAAUGAGAGUUAUUUCACCUAUACUGUGUAUAAUAAUACUAUUAUAUCAAGAUUUGUAAUGGAUGUCUCAGGGCAAAUCAAGCAAUUUACAUGGUUGGAACUCAGCCAGCAAUGGAACUUGUUUUGGUCUAUGCCACGGCAACAAUGUGAGGUUCAUGCAAUUUGUGGUUCAUCUGGAAUUUGCAACGAGAAUUCCAUGCCAUUUUGUACUUGUUUGCCGGGCUUUGAGCCGAAGUUCCACAGUAAUUGGAAUCUGAAUGAUUACUCAGGUGGGUGUGUGAGGAAAACAAAGUUACAAUGCGAGGACUCCAAUUCUUCAAAUGGAAAGAAAGACAAGUUCCAGGCAAUGCCCAACAUGAAGUUACCUAAAAUUUCUCCCUUUAAUGAAGCAGGGAGUGCAGAGGAAUGCCAAUCAACCUGCUUCAGAAAUUGCUCAUGUGCUGCUUAUGCGUAUGAUAGUAAUGGGUGUUGUAUCUGGCACGAUGAUCUCUUAAAUUUGCAACAACUUUCCCAAGAUGAUAGCAAUGGAGAAACUUUGUAUCUCAAGCUUGCGGCUUCUGAGUUUCCCGAUUCUAAAAGCAAUAAAGGGCUGAUUAUCGGUAUUCUUGCAGGCUCGGUGGGAGGUAUAGGGGUUCUCCUAGCUAUUCUUCUACUUGUGAUGUUGAGGAGAAGGAAGAGAAUUGUUCGAAGAGGGAAGGCUGUGGAGGGUUCAUUGAUGGCAUAUGGGUAUAGAGAUUUGCAAAACGCAACAAGGAAUUUCUCAGAGAAGUUAGGAGGAGGAGGUUUUGGUUCUGUGUUUAGAGGAACAUUGCCAGAUUCCAAAGUUAUAGCAGUGAAGAAGCUUGAAGGCAUUGGCCAGGGCGAGAAGCAGUUCCGUACAGAAGUUAGUACACUUGGAAGAGUACAGCAUGUAAAUCUGGUGCCGCUUAGAGGAUUUUGUUCUGAAGGAGUGAGAAAACUGCUUGUCUAUGAUUACAUGCCUAAUAGUUCUCUGGAUUCCCAUCUAUUUCAAGAAAAGAACUCUAAGAUAUUAGGCUGGAAAAUGAGGUACCAAAUUGCUCUUGGAACAGCCAGGGGGUUAACUUAUCUCCAUGAAAAGUGUAGAGACUGUAUCAUACAUUGUGACAUCAAACCAGAAAACAUUCUUCUUGAUGCUGAUUUUUGUCCAAAAGUUGCUGACUUUGGCCUCGCAAAGCUAGUCGGACGAGAUUUUAGCAGGGUUCUAACAACCAUGAGAGGAACAAGAGGUUAUCUUGCUCCGGAAUGGAUAUCCGGAGUGGCUAUUACUGCUAAAGCUGAUGUUUAUAGCUAUGGGAUGAUGCUUUUUGAAUUUGUAUCAGGUAGGAGAAACUCUAAGCCGUCUGAAGAUGGCAAAGUUAAGUUCUUUCCCACCUGGGCUACAAAUGUUGUUAUUCAUGGCGGCAAUAUGCAUAGCCUAUUAGACCCGAGGUUGGAGGGAAAUGCAGACUUGGAAGAGGUGACACGAAUAGUAAAAGUUGCUGCUUGGUGUGUCCAAGAUGAUGAAACUCACAGGCCAUCCAUGGGUCAAGUGGUUCAAAUCCUCGAGGGCAUGCUGGAUGUAAAUUUGCCUCCAGUUCCAAGAUCCUUCAAAUUGUUCGUGGAAGACGAGGCGAACAUAGUCUUCUUCACUGACUCAAACUCAAGCUCCAAUCAAAGCUCACAAGUAAGGAGCAACGUUUCAACAGCCUCCUCUCAAACCUAAGGCAACCUCUCAUCUGCACCCUCCCAAGAGUAUCAGUUGAUGAUCUACUGAGAUUUGAAAUGAAUUCAAGUGUGGAUUGGCCAUAACCCACAGUCUUAAUGAAUUAAAUCCGAUCAGGAUGUAACUAAAUGCUAAAAACUCUGCUCAACGAUAGGCGACGGUUGUUGGCUUAGAGGUGAACCUUUACCUUCCGUACAUCUCCAUAUGAGAGCAGAGGAGGAAUCAAGAGAGAAGGAGCAAAUCAUCAGAGUUCUGAGGAGAUUCACGUGGCCAAGGUAGCUAAGUACAAAUUGUGGCAAAAGAAAAGAAAAAUAUGUUUCAAAGUUGAAGAGUAUUUUAAUUUUGGGUUUUCAUUCAUUAAUGGACACUUGGUUCAUUCUUGAAGACGCUCGCUUACUAAAAACUCUGGGUGAAGGAGGACAAACGUGUAGGUGAUGCCAAAGUUGCAAUUAGAGUGAUACAAGCAACCACAAGCUCUUAGUUUUUUAUGCCAGCUAAAAAUGAAAGCAACGCGUUUUCUUUUGUUCUGAACUAGGAAACGGAUAAACUAGAGGAAUUUCAACCAUGUCAAGGCACUUCUCGUACAUUAGUUUAGUUAGUACAUUGUCAAAAUCAGUGAUUUCUGCCAACCUAUCCGUUUCGCUUAU